GGCCGUAUGGAGUAUAGCAAAGUGGUAAGGCAUCGGUUUUUGGUACCGGCAUGCAAAGGUUCGAAUCCUUUUACUCCAGA
This 80-nucleotide transfer RNA is filed under the name Helianthus annuus (common sunflower). Its description in RNAcentral is "tRNA-Gln". It matches the Rfam family "tRNA". Rfam says of the family: Transfer RNA (tRNA) molecules are approximately 80 nucleotides in length. The record is from RNAcentral. Lineage: Eukaryota; Viridiplantae; Streptophyta; Magnoliopsida; Asterales; Asteraceae.